RNAcentral lists this ribosomal RNA (485 nucleotides) under uncultured bacterium. RNAcentral describes it as "partial 16S ribosomal RNA". It matches the Rfam family "Bacterial small subunit ribosomal RNA", at positions 28 to 523 of the family's 1533-position model. The record is from RNAcentral.
GACGAACGUUGGCUGCGUGCUUAACACAUGCAAGUCGAACGCUGAAGCCCGAAGCUUGCUUCGGGUGGAUGAGUGGCGAACGGGUGAGUAACACGUGAGUAACCUGCCCCUGAUUUCGGGAUAAGCCUGGGAAACCGGGUCUAAUACCGGAUACGACCAACCCUCGCAUGAGGGUUGGUGGAAGGUUUUUCGAUCGGGGAUGGGCUCGCGGCCUAUCAGCUUGUUGGUGGGGUAAUGGCCUACCAAGGCGACGACGGGUAGCCGGCCUGAGAGGGCGACCGGCCACACUGGGACUGAGACACGGCCCAGACUCCUACGGGAGGCAGCAGUGGGGAAUAUUGCACAAUGGGGGAAACCCUGAUGCAGCGACGCAGCGUGCGGGAUGACGGCCUUCGGGUUGUAAACCGCUUUCAGCAGGGAAGAAGCGAAAGUGACGGUACCUGCAGAAGAAGUACCGGCUAACUACGUGCCAGCCGCCGCAGUAA